RNAcentral lists this ribosomal RNA (799 nucleotides) under uncultured bacterium. RNAcentral's name for it is "bacterial SSU rRNA". It matches the Rfam family "Bacterial small subunit ribosomal RNA", at positions 65 to 889 of the family's 1533-position model. The record is from RNAcentral.
AGCGGCAGCGAGGGGUGCUUGCACCCUGUCGGCGAGCGGCGAACGGCUGAGUAACGCGUAGGAAUUUGCCCCAAAGUGAGGAAUAACUGCCCGAAAGGGUAGCUAAUGCCGCAUAUGGUCUUCGGAUUAAAGGAUUUAUCCGCUUUGGGAGAAGCCUGCGUUGGAUUAGGUUGUUGGUAGGGUAAUGGCCUACCAAGCCGACGAUCCAUAGCUGGUCUGAGAGGAUGAUCAGCCAGACUGGAACUGAGACACGGUCCAGACUCCUACGGGAGGCAGCAGUGAGGAAUCUUCCACAAUGGGCGAAAGCCUGAUGGAGCAACGCCGCGUGAAGGAUGAAGGCCUUCGGGUUGUAAACUUCUUUUAUGAGUGAAGAAUAUGACGGUAACUCAUGAAUAAGCACCGGCUAACUACGUGCCAGCAGCCGCGGUCAUACGUAGGGUGCAAGCAUUAUCCGGAGUGACUGGGCGUAAAGAGUUGCGUAGGCGGUUUAAUAAGUGAAUAGUGAAACCUGGUGGCUCAACCAUACAGACUAUUAUUCAAACUGUUAAACUCGAGAAUGGUAGAGGUAACUGGAAUUUCUUGUGUAGGAGUGAAAUCCGUAGAUAUAAGAAGGAACACCAAUGGCGUAGGCAGGUUACUGGGCCAUUUCUGACGCUAAGGCACGAAAGCGUGGGGAGCGAACCGGAUUAGAUACCCGGGUAGUCCACGCCGUAAACGAUGGAUACUAGCUGUUGGAGGUAUCGACCCCUUCAGUAGCGAAGCUAACGCGUUAAGUAUCCCGCCUGUGGAGUACGGCCGC